AGGAUGGGUGGGGUCUGAGCCAAGGAUCUGUUGAGGCCCAUCUCCUCUGCAGAGUCUGCGCAUGUGCUGUGUGUGUGUGUGCGUGCGUGCGUGUGUGUGUGUGUGCACGCGCAUGUGAGCUCACCACCUCUACUGAGUGGACACAGGUUGCAGAUCCAGAGGUCAGAGGCUGCUUGCUGUGCCCUUCCUGGUGUCCCUGGGAACCAAGAGGAUCAAGAGCAGGACCUUUACCAGGCCUGAGCUGAAGCUCCAGUACUUUGGCCACCUGAUACGAACAGCUGACUCACUGGAAAAGACCCUGAUGUAGGCAAAG
This 313-nucleotide long non-coding RNA is filed under the name Bos indicus x Bos taurus (hybrid cattle). RNAcentral describes it as "lncRNA (ENSBIXG00000022047.1)". Lineage: Eukaryota; Metazoa; Chordata; Mammalia; Artiodactyla; Bovidae. The record is from RNAcentral.